This is a long non-coding RNA of Saccostrea cuccullata (small rock oyster), 228 nucleotides long. RefSeq lists it as uncharacterized. The record is from RefSeq and is a predicted model, not a curated record. NCBI's taxonomy places the organism in Eukaryota, Metazoa, Mollusca, Bivalvia, Ostreida, Ostreidae. The transcript has 3 exons.
CAGCGCCUGAAACAACGCCUGAAAUAUUACCUCUACCACCAUCUGUUCACACAGAGGAGGAAUCAAAGUCAUUGUCAGGAGCCAUUGAUUCUGAUCAGAGACCCACGGAAGAGAAUGAAAGGGAUGAAAGUGGCGAAGAAUCUGGAGAAAUGCCAGAAAAUGCUAAGGAAAAAGAUGAAGUUAAUGAGGAAAAUAAAAACUUGUCAAAAACCUUAACUCCAAGCGAGG